GUGAUACGAGAGUAAUCAAUCCACCACAGUUAAUGCCCAUUUGAUAUUUAAUCUCAACCACUGGAAGUGUGCUAAUUCAACUAUCCACAACCAGCUUACUAAUGUGAAGGUCAAUUUGAAAUGUUAGUUGGCAAAGGAAGGAGGCCAAAGCAAUAAGUAUCGCAUCACGCUUGGUGUUCGAAACAAGGAAAGCACAAUCCCAUAACAGCUGAAACACCCAACCCAUGAGCGCUGUUAAAUUGCAUAAAAAUGCCCAGUAGGGAACUUGUUUGGUGAAGUAAAAAUGGUGGCCUCAGAACAGAAGCGCUUCAGGUGACCCCUGAAGUUAAGUCACCGUGCUGAUUUCAGCUUAGCUCUCAGCUUUCUUCACUACGGAAGCUUUCUGAAACCAGCACGCAUAGUAAAUCCCAACUCAUUUCCUCAGCUCACAUGCUGUGAGAAUCAUGACAACUACAUGGUCAAAGAUAUCAAAUAGAAGGCACCAAUACCAGAAAGAGGGUUCUGAACAUUUUGCAGAAAUUACUUCUUUCAUUGAUGAAACCAUAAAAAGUGGGCAGCAUUAGCUGAUUCAUAUGCCAUCACUCAUCAGCAAGAUACUGCAGAUUUUGGAGUGCGCAUUACAAUGAUGUAAUAUUAUCAUAAAGGUUUGGAUAAGAAUCCUAUGAAGCUCUUUGGUUGAUUAGAAUCUAGGGCCUUCUAAAUUCCAGUAUAGAGAAAUUUUUAGUUUGGGUGUCACUAUUGUAUAUGUAAAUGGA
RNAcentral lists this long non-coding RNA (755 nucleotides) under Citrus maxima (pomelo). RNAcentral's name for it is "long non-coding RNA (CMAX_LNC001588)". The record is from RNAcentral. Lineage: Eukaryota; Viridiplantae; Streptophyta; Magnoliopsida; Sapindales; Rutaceae.